Molecule: ribosomal RNA, 1416 nt
Filed under: Candidatus Omnitrophota bacterium
Lineage: Bacteria; Pseudomonadati; Candidatus Omnitrophota
Description: bacterial SSU rRNA
Rfam family: Bacterial small subunit ribosomal RNA
Source: RNAcentral
AAACUGGAGAGUUUGAUUCUGGCUCAGAACGAACGCUGGCGGCGUGGAUUAGGCAUGCAAGUCGAACGAUCUCUUUCCUUCGGGAGGGGGAUAGUGGCAAACGGGUGAGUAAUACGUGGGUAAUCUGCCUUUAGGACCGGGAUAACGAACCGAAAGGUUCGCUAAUACCGGGUAAGACCACAGCCCCUACGGGGGCAGCGGUUAUAGAUGGGGAUCCUGAAAAUGGACCUAUCACCUUUAGAUGAGCCCACGUCCUAUCAGCUAGUUGGAGGGGUAACGGCCCACCAAGGCUAUGACGGGUAGCUGGUCUGAGAGGAUGGUCAGCCACACUGGGACUGAGACACGGCCCAGACUCCUACGGGAGGCAGCAGUCGAGGAUCUUUUGCAAUGCCCGCAAGGGUGACAAUGCGACGCCGCGUGAGCGAUGAAGGUCUUCGGAUCGUAAAGCUCUGUCAGCUGGGAUGAAUACAUGAGGGUUAAUACCCCUUAUGUUCGACGGUACCGGCAAAGGAAGCCACGGCUAACUCCGUGCCAGCAGCCGCGGUAAUACGGAGGUGGCAAGCGUUGUUCGGAUUUACUGGGUGUAAAGGACAUGUAGGUGUCUUUUUAAGUCGGAUGUGAAAUCCCUUGGCUCAACCAAGGAACUGCAUCUGAUACUGAGAAGAUUGAGUACGUGAGAGGUAAGCGGAAUUCCAGAAGUAAGGGUGAAAUCUGUAGAUAUCUGGAGGAACACCAUUAGCGAAGGCGGCUUACUGGCACGAUACUGACGCUGAAAUGUGAAAGCUAGGGGAGCAAACAGGAUUAGAUACCCUGGUAGUCCUAGCUGUAAACGAUGUACACUAGGUGCAGGUCCGCGAGGGUCUGUGUCGUAGCUAACGCGUUAAGUGUACCACCUGGGGACUACGGUCGCAAGGCUAAAACUCAAAGAAAUUGACGGGGACCCGCACAAGCGGUGGAGCAUGUGGUUUAAUUCGAUGCUACGCGAGGAACCUUACCUAGGCUUGACAUACUAGAAGUAGGAACCUGAAAGGGGGACGACCUGUAUCCAAUCAGGAACUAGAACAGGUGCUGCAUGGCUGUCGUCAGCUCGUGUCGUGAGAUGUUGGGUUAAGUCCCGCAACGAGCGCAACCCUUGUCAUUAGUUGCUACGCAAGAGCACUCUAAUGAGACUGCCGGUGACAAACCGGAGGAAGGUGGGGAUGACGUCAAGUCCUCAUGGCCCUUAUAGGUGGGGCUACACACGUCAUACAAUGGCCGGUACAAAGGGCAGCAAACCCGCGAGGGGGAGCCAAUCCAUCAAAGCCGGUCGUAGUCCGGAUCGCAGUCUGCAACUCGACUGCGUGAAGUCGGAAUCGCUAGUAAUCGUGGAUCAGCAUGUCACGGUGAAUACGUUCCCGGGUCUUGUACACACCGCCC